AGAGCGAACGCUGGCGGCAGGCUUAACACAUGCAAGUCGAACGGACCCUUCGGGGUUAGUGGCGGACGGGUGAGUAACACGUGGGAACGUGCCUUUUGGUUCGGAACAACACAGGGAAACUUGUGCUAAUACCGGAUGUGCCCUUCGGGGGAAAGAUUUAUCGCCAUUAGAGCGGCCCGCGUCUGAUUAGCUAGUGGUGGGGUAAAGGCCUACCAAGGCUACGAUCAGUAGCUGGUCUGAGAGGAUGACCAGCCACAUUGGGACUGAGACACGGCCCAAACUCCUACGGGAGGCAGCAGUGGGGAAUCUUGCGCAAUGGGCGAAAGCCUGACGCAGCCAUGCCGCGUGAAUGAUGAAGGUCUUAGGAUUGUAAAAUUCUUUCACCGGGGACGAUAAUGACGGUACCCGGAGAAGAAGCCCCGGCUAACUUCGCGCCAGCAGCCGC
This 445-nucleotide ribosomal RNA is filed under the name uncultured bacterium. Its description in RNAcentral is "SSU rRNA". It matches the Rfam family "Bacterial small subunit ribosomal RNA", at positions 26 to 518 of the family's 1533-position model. The record is from RNAcentral.